Carassius gibelio (silver crucian carp) is the source of this 2103-nucleotide long non-coding RNA. RefSeq lists it as uncharacterized. NCBI's taxonomy places the organism in Eukaryota, Metazoa, Chordata, Actinopteri, Cypriniformes, Cyprinidae. The record is from RefSeq and is a predicted model, not a curated record. The transcript is spliced from 2 exons.
UGUUUUAUGUACAAUAUCUUACUUAGGACAGUACUAAAAAAAUAAAAAUAACAUGCAUUUAGUAUGAUCUCUCUUAUUUUUUGAAAAUUAUUCACAUUUUCACAGAUUCUGCAAGGGGUUCCAAAACUUUUGCAUGCCACUGUAUUGUCCAAAGCCUAUUUGAAGUGAGUGGGUUACCAUCAGGUUUAGGUUUCCUGAACAAUGAAAGCUAAGACACCGUUUAAGUUAACUUUAGACCUUUUGUCCAAUACAGUUAACCACAUUAGAAAGCGACCGUAUCUUUCCAAAUUGUCGCAAGUAUAGUACAGUGUAGGAAUGUUCAGCGAAUGUGCCAUGUUAAAGAGCUUAUGGUUAGGUGAUUCAUCACUUCUAUCUCUUAUCACCAAUCAUUGGAUUCAUAGUCUUAAUUCAUAAUCUUGUUGAUUGAGCUUAAUUGAUUCAAUGAUUUCAAUCUUUGAGUGGGAAUAUCAGUUGCUUCCAUUGAUGUUAACUCACCAUAUUUUUCUCUUUUUACAGUGGUUGGAUUGCCACAGUGAUGUUUUUCGGCACAAAUGUAGUCUCGGCUAUAUUCAUGCUCAUCUGUACUCUGCUCUUUACCAUAGAUACAGUUCUAAUGGUGUUCAUUCUUAUCAAGGUUCAUCGACUGUAUCGCGGUGGAGGAGGCAGUUUUCAGCAGGCUCAGGAAGAAUGGAGCACUGGGGUGUGGAAAAGCGCCCCUGUGAGGCAAGCUGGAUUCAAUGCCAUCUCUGAAACCGGCCCCAGCCUGCCCCAGUAUCCAGCCGCAGUGCCCAGUUACCCAGAGAGCGGGCCCUGGUGAUACCUCUUCUGAUCUACAGAUGGGGCCAGAGCACUACUUACUGCUUGUCUUAACAUUAAAGGGCACAUUGAAGUGGGACCCCAAGAAAACACUUCGGCCAGAUCACAAACUUGUGAAUAUUUCCAUUGUUUUUGAACAAUGUAGCAAAAAGAUCUUAUGUUAAAUCACUCCUUAAAGAAUGAGCAUAAACCUAAUUAUUUUUUUUUUUUUUUUGCCUUAAAAUAAUCAAUUUUAUGUGAAUGACGAUCUAAAAUGUGUCAAACCACUUUCCUGGGUGCAAAUUCUGCUAAAACGCUAAUAACCAAGCCAAAUCAGCAAACUGCUCCUUUAAAAACUCUCUCAACACAUACUACUCUCAAACAGAUGGCAAAAUGGUGGACCGUAAACAGCAAAAAAAUUACGCUUUACAUUUACGAAUUCAUCUCAAUUCAUCUUAGCCUUGAUUUUUCUUAGCAUUGUUUGAGAAAGAAAUCAAAAUAUUUGCAUAUCAAAUCACUGAACUGUGUAGAAUACAAAUGCAGAUUGCAUCACGUACAAUCACAUUAGUGUUUCAGGGAAAGUGAAUUUUAAAAGAGUAAAAAGCAUGUCAGAAUUUCUUUUCUCAAACAUGGCAGCUUUUCUAUUUACUUCAUGAAAUUAGCUCUCACAUUUCCACAUCAAUUCACUUCAAACUUUGGUUAAUUAUUCCCUCACUUUUAAGACUCACAAGCAUGUCUUUGUAAAUAGUAUGAUUUGCAUGACACCUUUUGUAUAUUGCUACUAAGCAUUGCAGAUUUUAUAAGAUCUAUGACAGAGAAUGUUUCUUGCAAACAUAUUGUGCCUGCUUUCUUUUCUGUUCAAAGCUUUCCACAUCUUCUAAAUGAAGACCGCCUUAAUUGUUCAUGCAAAUGAAGCAUGUGUGAACCAAUAUCUUUCGAGUUUCCCUUAAGUGCUACAACUUAAUUGGUCGAUGUGGCUACAUCCUCUGCUAUUUUUAAUACUGGCUUCUGAGUAUGUAUUACUUUGCAAUUAUUUCUGGUUUUACUACAGUAAUCAUUGUGCUUCGUAUUGGAGCAUUGUGAUUACAAAUGCGUUGGGAAGGGGGCACUCAUUAUGAACAUGUGACUUAAUCUUUUUUACUUCUCAUUUAAAAUCUCCCUCUACCGAGCCAAAGGAGGCUGAGUUUAAAAUGUUCCAUGACUGGCCUUGUGUAGCCAAAGUAUUUAACAGUCCUGUAUCUAAACUGUGACCACAAUGACUCUCUAACUAACUUUAUUUCAAUAAAAACAUUCCUUUUCAGACUGAAA